This is a non-coding RNA of Pelobates cultripes (western spadefoot toad), 231 nucleotides long. The record is from the annotation of a GenBank genome assembly. Lineage: Eukaryota; Metazoa; Chordata; Amphibia; Anura; Pelobatidae.
AAGAGUAUCAAUAUAACUGAUAGUAACAAUCAGAUUGUAACAAAAAAUCUAAAUUGUAUCUCAGUCCAGUAUAAAAUAUAUAGCAGGGUCCAAAGUGACAGGAGGUCCACAGUGUUGUUUGGGAACACAAUCUUUGACUUUGAAUCCCUUAAAAAAGACAUAAAGUAUAUAUAGUGCACUACUGUAUUUAAUGUCUUAAAACAGCAAUGGAAUCCCCCUCCCCAACAUAGG